RNAcentral lists this transfer RNA (84 nucleotides) under Actinomycetota bacterium. RNAcentral's name for it is "tRNA-Leu". It matches the Rfam family "tRNA". From Rfam's summary of the family: Transfer RNA (tRNA) molecules are approximately 80 nucleotides in length. Their secondary structure includes four short double-helical elements and three loops (D, anti-codon, and T loops). Further hydrogen bonds mediate the characteristic L-shaped molecular structure. tRNAs have two regions of fundamental functional importance: the anti-codon, which is responsible for specific mRNA codon recognition, and the 3' end, to which the tRNAs corresponding amino acid is attached (by aminoacyl-tRNA synthetases). tRNAs cope with the degeneracy of the genetic code in two manners: having more than one tRNA (with a specific anti-codon) for a particular amino acid; and 'wobble' base-pairing, i.e. permitting non-standard base-pairing at the 3rd anti-codon position. Lineage: Bacteria; Bacillati; Actinomycetota. The record is from RNAcentral.
GCCCAGGUGGUGGAAUCGGCAGACACGGGAGCCUCAAAAGUUCCUGCCCGCAAGGGCGUGCGGGUUCGAGUCCCGCCCUGGGCA